CCCUGCCAUUUGUACACACCGCCCGUCGCUACUACCGAUUGAAUGGUUUAGUGAGGCCUCGGGACUGGCGCGAAGAGGCGGUUUCGCCUGUUUGCGCCGGGAACUUGGUCAAACUUGAUCAUUUAGAGGAAGUA
This 134-nucleotide ribosomal RNA is filed under the name uncultured eukaryote. RNAcentral's name for it is "partial small subunit ribosomal RNA". It matches the Rfam family "Eukaryotic small subunit ribosomal RNA", at positions 1651 to 1784 of the family's 1831-position model. The record is from RNAcentral.